GCCAGUAUGGUGUAGCGGUUUGAGUGUUGGACUAGGACUCUAGAGACCAGGGUUCGAGUGCCUAUUCAGCCA
Molecule: non-coding RNA, 72 nt
Organism: Phrynosoma platyrhinos (Desert horned lizard)
Lineage: Eukaryota; Metazoa; Chordata; Lepidosauria; Squamata; Phrynosomatidae
Source: the annotation of a GenBank genome assembly